This 5284-nucleotide long non-coding RNA is filed under the name Hordeum vulgare. RNAcentral's name for it is "long non-coding RNA (HVUL_LNC013996)". The stretch from base 1672 to 1796 matches the Rfam family "MIR1120/MIR1122 microRNA precursor family". Lineage: Eukaryota; Viridiplantae; Streptophyta; Magnoliopsida; Poales; Poaceae. The record is from RNAcentral.
GACACCCGGCAAGGGAACGUGGAAUGCGGAAUCAAGUACGUGUCACACAACCCGCAAACAGGGUAAGGACGACAAGCUAGAUCAACAAGAAGCGGAAAGCACCGGAGGUAUAGGGAAGCGAUGAGAACGCUGUCAGGAUGGCACACCCACCAUCAUCUACCUUUUCUUCACUUGAACUUGCAAAAGAGGUGCCCUCAACUAAGUUGCUCGCCCCAAUUUUCCUCUUGCGCCAAGAGAGGUUCCUUGACCGACGCGGGGUUGCCUGCAAUCAAUAACCUCUUGUAAGGUUGGCUUCGUAACAGAAUCCCCUUAAUUUACAUUGUUUACAUUGACAUUGCAUGUACCCUCACUUCCAUUCGUAGGUUCAAGAUCAUCGUUCUCCUUAUACAUCAGGUUGGGUCAUGCCCAAUUUUUCAUCCAUGGACACCUUGGCCUCUAUUGCCUAGUUACCUCUUCCACAGGUAGUGCUACCACGAGGUUGGAACCGUCAUAAAAUCGCCAUUCCCCAAGAACCUCAAAAGGAGCUUCUCCAGUUUGACCUUGAUGUGCACUCAAACAAACUUUCAUAUUCAAGGUCAUUUAGUCCAAGCUCCACAUGUAACACUUCUCGUGUCCUGGAAGUCAUUGCUCUAGACACUGAUCUGUUACGCAACAAGUCCAGUCAACCCAGGAUUGGAGCCCAAACACGUAUGGAGUUAAGGGCGACAUAUUCCACUAUAUUCCUCAAUUACCACAACAUGGUGCCUAAAGAGCCAAGCACCCUCAUGCAUGGUUGUGAUUCCAAUCCCCAAAAACACAUAAACUCCAUUAUAAAAGGGUAGUCAUCAACCGGGUUUCUCUUGCAUACCCUACACUAACCCCAUCUCGCACGUGUGUCAUCUGUUGGUGCUUGAUGCUCAUCCACCUAAAACGCUGGUCCCCAAAGUGCCUUCUACAGGAUGUGGUGGUGGGUCCAUAGUGACGCCACCCACGACCUCUAUUAGCGGUGAUGGUCGCCUAACACAGACUCCCCUCAUGUCUUUCAUCUGUAGUGUUGGUGCACAUCGCUCCACCGACUACGUCGCACAUGCGUCUUCCCUUCCGCUUGGUCUUCUGUGCUCAAAAAACCUUAUCUCCAGCACCAACUUCUACAACCAGUAUUGGUCGUGCUACACCUCCUCUAGCAGAUUACACUAGUGGUGGUCGCCACUCCUCUUCCGGUGAUUCAACGUCGACCAAUUCAACGGUGUUCUUCACAGUGCAUGAGAUUGCAAGACUGCGACACUUGCCUAUAGUUGAAACCCUCACUACACUAGAGAUUACAAGACUUGAGUAUCUUCUAGAUGCUUCUUUUGUUUCACAACAGUUUUGUUGUUAGUAAUUUUUCACGAAUCCUUGGUAGUGUAGCAUCUUAUGACUCAUGAUUCUUCUAGCUUGUCCUCCAUUCAAACUUCUAGAUUCUCAUAUUCAUGUUAUUAUUGCUGAUGGUACUUCCUUCCCAAAGCACAUAAAGGCACAUCAUGAAAGCACAACGCAAUGCAAAAUGCUAAAAAAUAACUAGAUACCAUUUAAGUAAAACCUGGGCCAGCUUGACUAGAGAGAGGCAAGCACCACAUGGUCCGCUCCACAAGAGAAGAUGCACGAAACCAGCUUGACUAGAGAGAGGCAAGCACAACAUUUGGUUUUACUUAAAUGGUACUCCCUCCGUCCGGAAUUACUUGUAGCACAAAUGUAUAAAAAUGGAUGUAUCUAGAACUAAAAUACAUCUAGAUACCUCCAUUCCUAUGACAAGUAUUUUCGGACGGAGGGAGUAUUCAGUUAUGUUUUAGCAUUUUGCAGCCUAUAUGAACAUAAAACAAAUUUCCAAAGAACGUGAAAUGUAUUAGUCGAACAAAUGGAAAAUCAUUGUCAAACAUGCGAAUAUCAUAUAAGGUACUCACCCUCUUGAGCGUGUUUUUGGUCGAUGUCGCCAGUACUCACCCCUUUGUUUGUUUGGAUGCAUUUGCUACAUUCUUCUUGCCCUCUAUGAACACACCAAACUAACUGUUCAAUAUGUUGUUUGUCUUCUUAGGUUAAUGUGAUGAGCACAAGGGGUAUCAGGAUUGGGAUCAUGUUAGUCGUCACAUGCGCAUUUCUUGGCCCGGGACUUUGGCGAGUCUCAUCCAAUCAAUUCACAUCCAUCCUCUCCUUUAGCCUUCCCCAUUCAGGAUAUUUGUUUCCUCACUUUUCCUCAUACACCUAUCAGUCAUGUAUUGUCCUCGUCCAUCCAUCCACCGUGUCUUCUUGUACUACUAUUGUAGACCCUAUGUUGUCUUCACCUGCGGCUUCCCCACCUCACUCGUUACCUGAGGCACCUAAGUUGGGUUGUCCCUUGAGGCUUCUGUCGUGAUUCCCCCUCGUCCUUUCUUUACCACAUUGGUUGUCCGUGUGUUGUGGAUUCUUCUAAUGCACCAUCUCGAUAAACUACCAUGCCUCCUUCUGUUGGCAACACGUCACUCCGGCUCAACCUACUAAUGAAUUUCGCCUGCCUGCAUCGACCUAUUGACCGCUAUGGUUAUUCUAGCGAGGCUCUUCUCGAGACGACUUCUUACCCAAACAUUGUUGUUCAUCCUGAACGACAUGUGAUGGCAGAGGUGAGUGUUGCGCGUGAGUGCACCGUGACAUGGGAUCUCAUUUCCCUUCUUCCACAUGCUUGUCCUGCCACUUGUAAGUGUGUCUACAAGGUUUAGACUGAUGGUUCUCUCAAGCGCGUUACAAAGCUCAUCUUGUGUCACAUGGCUUUCAACAUGAAUAUGGUCAUGAUAACGAUGAGACAUUUGCUCAUGUGGCCACAUGACCACUCUUGCACACUUCUCAUUGUGACUUCUAUUCACCUUGUGUCUAUCUCUCAGCUUGAUGACAAAAUUGCCUUUCUUAAUGGUGAGUUGCAUGAGGAGAUCUACAUGUAGCCACCACCUUGGUAUUCCGAUCCUAACAAAAUAGCAUGUUAUCUUCGUCGCUCUCUAUAUGAGCUUAAGCCAACCCCUCAUGCAUGGUUCGAGAGGUUCGUCAUAGUAGUCAAUGUGGCUAGUUUUCUGGCAAAUGCUAAUGAUCUUGUACUUUAUGUCCACCUUUUAGCUCAUUAUCAGAACUCUUAUGUAUGUCAAUGACAUGGUCAUCAUUGGAAAUGACCCUGAGUACAUUGCCUUUGUGAAUGCUCGUCCUAGCGAGUUGUUUCUUAUGUUUGAUCUUGAUCCUCUUCUCUACUUCCUUGGGAUUGAGGUUUCCUCUACUUCUAAUGGCUUCCUUAUUUCCCAAGAGAUGUAUCUCCAGGAUCUUGCUCGCAUUGCUUUUAUUGACAAGCGCAAUGUUAAGACACCUAUGGAACUCAACAUCCACCUUUGUGCUCCCGAAGAUCUACCUUUGUCUGUUUUUAACAUGCUAUCGUCAUCCUGUUAGGAGCCUUUCCUAUUUGGAUGUCACCCAUCCAGACAUUUCAUAUCUCAUUCAUAGUCUCAAUCAGUUCGUCUCUACUCCCACUUCGAUCCACUACACUCACCACAUCUGUGUUCUACAAUAUCUUCGUGGGACUCUCUCGUCAUCUCUUCUUCCCACACUCAAGUUGAUCGAUCCCUUUAUGCUUAUUGUGUUUUUCUUGGUGGUUCUAUCAUUGCUUGGAUCUACGUGGGACUCUCUCGAUGUCUAUUCUUCCCAUGCUCAAGUUCGUUGAUCCCUUUCUGAUUACUAUGCUUUUCUUGGUGGUUUCUCGUUGCCUGGAAGACGAAGAAACAGGUUGCACUUUCUUCUUUGAGUGUAGAGACUGAGUUGCGAGCUACACCUAUUUUGACAGUAGAGGUGACUUGCCUACCAUGUCUGCUUAAGGGUUUUGGUGUUUCUCACUACACCUACUACUGUCUUAUCAAAUAGUACAAGUAAAAUCCAUAUUGCGCGUGACCAUGUAUAGUAUGAGCUCACCAAGCAUAUUGGUGUUGAUGCUUCCUUCAUGUGCUCCAGUGUGUAAGAUCAAAUUAUAACUCUUCACUAUGUGCCUUCCGAUUUAUAGUUGGCCAAUUUCUUAACGUAGGCCAACAGUACAGCACAACAUGGUUUCUAUCUCUCCAAGUUCAGUGUUGUUGAUCCACCAUCAGCUUCAGAAUUUUGGUGUUUCUAUCCCUCAAAAAGAGAUUGAUCCAGUUUAUAAGGGAAUAUGGAUCAAAGACCAAACAAAGCAAGCCAAUUUACAAGGAAAAUUUGGCUGAAAAUCGCACAAGCAACAUAGCCUCAUCAACAGCACGACACAUGCGAAUAUUGCACUAAACACACACCCAGAUCUAGUAUUGCCACUCCAAUAUAUUCGACUAACACAAGAGCCACAUAGCAGAGUGCCCACCAACUAGGCAAGAUAGUUAUGGCACCUCACUCCACAACAGCCACGUCAUGAACCCCGGAUAGUAUAUUCACAUGUAGACACCGAAUCUACCCGUAACCAUCCACUGUCAUGGAUAAUGUACAAACAUAGGAUGGUGGACCAUCCCUAUCUUCCGUCCUCCUUGCUUCCCCUGGCCACUCGGCUUUGGGUCCAACAAGGCCGACGAUGGAGGCAGCCGACUCAAGACAGUUUUUUUGUACCUUCCCAUGCACCUCCAAUGUACACUCCACUGCAUGCUAGUCCAAUUGGGCAUCCUUUUCCUGGCUACGAGUUGUUUUGUGCGCUGCCUUGUUCCUACAUCACAUGCUCCCAUACAGGUUGUCGCCAUAGCCACUAGCUCGGGCACCACCAACGGUGGAGCAAGAGCACGGGCAGUUGGCACCGCCACCGUCUUACCCAAGGACGCAGAGCGACCAGGAGCACGUCGCUACCUGUCGCCAAGGCCAGGGACGCCCAGCAAGGGAACAUGGAAUGCGGAAUCAAGUACGUGUCACACAACCCGCAAACAGGGUAAGGACGACAAACUAGAUCAACGAGAAGCGGAGCGCACCGAAGGUAUAAGGAACCGAUAAAAACACUGUGAGGAUGGCACACCCACCAUCAUCUACCUUUUCUUCGCUCGAACUUGCAAAAGAGGUGCCCUCGGCUAAGUUGCUCGUCCUAGUUUUUCCCUCAUGGUAUUCUGUAGGAUAUGUCGAUUUCUUUCCACCGGCGCCAAGGGAGGUUCCUUGACCGAUGCAGGGUUGCCUGCAAUCAAUAACCUCUUGCAAGGUUGGCUUCGUAACAGAAUCCCCUUAAGUGACAUUGUUUACAUUGACAUUGCAUGUACCCGUACUUCCAUUCGUAGGUUCAAGAUCAUCGUUCUCCUUAUAAAUCGGGUCGGGUCAUGCCCAAUUU